UACAGAGGGGGCAAGCGUUGUUCGGAAUUACUGGGCGUAAAGGGCGCGUAGGCGGCCUGUUAAGUCGAACGUGAAAUCCCCGGGCUCAACCCGGGAACUGCGUCCGAUACUGGCAGGCUUGAAUCCGGGAGAGGGAUGCGGAAUUCCAGGUGUAGCGGUGAAAUGCGUAGAUAUCUGGAAGAACACCGGUGGCGAAGGCGGCAUCCUGGACCGGCAUUGACGCUGAGGCGCGAAAGCCAGGGGAGCAAACGGG
Molecule: ribosomal RNA, 253 nt
Filed under: uncultured bacterium
Lineage: Bacteria
Description: partial 16S ribosomal RNA
Rfam family: Bacterial small subunit ribosomal RNA
Source: RNAcentral